UACGUAGGGGGCUAGCGUUGUCCGGAUUUAUUGGGCGUAAAGAGCGUGUAGGCGGCCCCUUAAGUCCUGCGUGAAAUCCUGCGGCUCAACCGCAGACGGUCGUGGGAAACUGGAGGGCUAGAGUGCGGGAGAGGAGAGUGGAAUUCCCGGUGUAGCGGUGAAAUGCGCAGAUAUCGGGAAGAACACCCGUGUCGAAGGCGGCUCUCUGGAACGCAACUGACGCUGAGACGCGAAAGCGUGGGGAGCAAACAGG
RNAcentral lists this ribosomal RNA (253 nucleotides) under uncultured bacterium. RNAcentral's name for it is "partial 16S ribosomal RNA". It matches the Rfam family "Bacterial small subunit ribosomal RNA", at positions 524 to 776 of the family's 1533-position model. The record is from RNAcentral.